CAGUCGCCGCGGUAAUACGUAGGGUGCAAGCGUUAAUCGGAAUUACUGGGCGUAAAGCGUGCGCAGGCGGUUUGUUAAGACAGAUGUGAAACCCCCGGGCUCAACCUGGGAACUGCAUUUGUGACUGGCAAGCUAGAGUAUGGCAGAGGGGGGUGGAAUUCCGCGUGUAGCAGUGAAAUGCGUAGAUAUGCGGAGGAACACCGAUGGCGAAGGCAGCCCCCUGGGCCAAUACUGACGCUCAUGCACGAAAGCGUGGGGAGCAAACAGGAUUAGAUACCCCAGUAGUCCCUGUCUCUUAUAA
RNAcentral lists this ribosomal RNA (301 nucleotides) under uncultured bacterium. Its description in RNAcentral is "partial 16S ribosomal RNA". It matches the Rfam family "Bacterial small subunit ribosomal RNA", at positions 509 to 809 of the family's 1533-position model. The record is from RNAcentral.